Cornus florida is the source of this 3459-nucleotide RNA transcript. It is a transcript of the gene named putative late blight resistance protein homolog R1B-23, with no coding region annotated. The transcript is spliced from 3 exons. The record is from RefSeq and is a predicted model, not a curated record. NCBI's taxonomy places the organism in Eukaryota, Viridiplantae, Streptophyta, Magnoliopsida, Cornales, Cornaceae.
AAAAAUAAAAAAACUAAUAAUUGAAGUCAUGUCGGCUACUGUAGUGAGGGAUGUAAAGUUUAAUGGCGGGUUUUAUCAUCGAGAUCUGAAAAAAGCUUCCUCCGGCGAACAAUUUCUGCUCAAUACACGAGAGAGUGAAGGAAUGGCCGGCGCUCAUGAUAGUGCUGUCGACUUGGAGACAACGAUAAGCAAUGCCUCAUUGGAAAGAGAGAUGGCGGAGACUGGUGUUGAUUUUCUCUUUGAGAGGUUGAAUCAGCUAAGGGAGGGCUCAAUAGGUUUCCACCUUUCUCUUGUUGACUCUAUUUCUGACGAGUUACAAUUUCUGAGAACUUUUCUCAAGGACUCGGAGGAGUAUGGAGUUAAAUAUUUGGUUACACAAAUCCGAGAUGUGGCGAAUGAGGCAGCAUUGAUUUGUGAUCCUGAAAGAUUAGGGUUUCCAAAAUCAGAAUGCCCAGUGCCCAAAAGAGGGAGAGUGAUCCAAGCAAUCCUGGAAAAUAUAUUCCUAGGAAUUUGUAAUCCAAAUGAAAAAAUACAUCAUAGAAUUCUCAGUAUGCAUCAUAAUAUAAUGUUCAGUGAUGUCUUCAAACAGAUUACGGCUGUGAAGAAACAGGUGAUCCAGUUUUAUGAAAAGGAGAUUGUGGUGGGCUUUGAUCAUCAAGUAGAAAUGUUGAGGGACCGACUUGCUGGAAUGCAGAAGAAGCAACUCGAAGUUGUCUCUAUUGUCGGAAUGGCCGGAUUGGGUAAGACCACUCUCGCAAGAAAAUUAUAUAAUGAUUCUUUCAUCCGAUAUCACUUCUAUAUUCGUGGGUGGGUUUGUGUGUCUCAAAUAUAUCGGAAACGGGAUUUGUUGCUUGACAUUCUAAGUUCUGUUCUCAAGCAUAAAGAGGAAAUUUCCGCACUAAGUGAUGAAAAGUUGGGAGAAGUGUUAUACAAACGAUUGAAGGGUAAUAUAUAUCUCGUUGUGAUGGAUGAUAUAUGGAAUAUUGGGGUCUGGAAUGACUUGAAAAGAUACUUUCCGAACGACAACAAUGGCAGUAGAGUUUUGUUCACUACUCGGCACACUGAUGUGGCUUUGCUUGCCAAUCAUGAUGAUACUCCUCAUCAUCUCCCUUUCCUAAAUGAAGAUCAUAGUUGGCAUCUCUUACAAAAGAAGAUAUUUUGGAACGAAAGCUGCCCUCCGGAGUUGAUGGAUAUCGGAAAGCAAAUAGUAAGAAAAUGUCAAGGUUUACCGCUUGCAAUUGUUGUGGUGGCUGGACUUCUUGCAAAGAUGGACAAGAAUCGACAUUCGUGGAUGCAAGUUGCUGAAAGAUUAAGUUCAUACAUUGGAAGUGAUACAGCGCAAUGCAUGGAUAUUCUAGCACUAAGUUACAACAACUUGCCUGAUCACUUGAAAUCAUGCUUUCUCUACUUUGGUACAUUCCCUGAGGCCUAUGAAAUCUCAGUGCGGAAGUUGAUAUGGUUAUGGAUCGCAGAGGGAUUUAUAAACCAAAUUGGGCACGAAAACACGAGCCUGGAGGAUGUGGCUGAGAAAUACUUGAUGGAUUUGAUUGAUAGAAAUUUGGUCUUGGUAGCCAAAAGAAGGUCAGCUGGUGGAAUCAAAGCAUGUCGUGUCCAUGACCUGUUGCACGAUUUAUGCUUGAGAAAAGCCUCGGAAGAGAAUUUCCUAAUGCAGUUUUACAAGGAUGGAAUCAGAACAUAUCCUGGGUAUGAUCAAGGUCCAUCUUCUUCUUCUCCUCCUUCAGUUCCUACUGCAAAGAAGCAUUUUCGCUUAUGUGUUGAUUCAUUCUUUUUAAAUUAUAACAAUUAUACACAGCCUUUUUUUCCCCACAUCCACUCUUUCGUGUGUUUUGUCUCUCAACAGAUUUCAUUACCUACUGAGAGAAUUUCAUUCAUUUGUCAGACCUUCGAACAACUUAGGGUUUUGGAUUUAUGGGCCAUCAGUAUCUUCUCUUUUCCAAUUGAAAUAGUUCAGCUAUCUCUUCUGAGGUACUUAGCUCUUCGGGGUGAGUUCCAGGAAAUCCCCGCAUCAAUAGAAAACCUUGGGCAUCUAGAAAUUCUUAUCAUAUCACAUGUGGAGAAAUCAGUCUUACCGAAUGAGCUAUGGAAUAUCUUAACAUUAAGGCAUCUAUGCAUUGCGGGGAAAAGUAUAUUCGUAAGAAAGGUUGGAUAUUCCUCUGUAUUGCAUAACCUACUAACCAUCUCACAUAUAGAUCCUACAACGUAUUGCCAGGAUUUAUUGGCAAGGACUCCCAAUCUUCGGAAGUUGGGAUUUUGUGGGUCGUUUAAUACAGUCAACUCUGAUAAUUUUUGGUUUCCUGAUCUAGACUUCCUACUGUGUCUUGAAACCUUGAAGUUGUCAAACAUGUUUGUUCCUCGCCACCAUAAUUUCAAUCUCCAAGGCAUUAAGUUCCCCCCAAAUCUUAAAAGGUUAACUUUGUCAAAUACCGCUCUCAUGUGGAAGGAAAUGUCAGUCCUUGGGAUGUUACCCUACCUAGAGGUUCUCAAACUGGAGUCUCAUGCCUGCAUCGGGUCAAUAUGGAAAACAAGUGAUGGAGGGUUUCAUAGACUCAAAUACUUGAGAUUGUAUUACAUAGAUCUUGAACAAUGGAAUGCCUCCAACAUUCAUUUUCCAAUGCUUCAACAUCUAGUGCUGCAUAAUUGUCGUAAACUCAAGGAGAUUCCAUCGGAAUUAGGGGAUAUAUGUACCCUACACACAAUUGAGGUAAGAAGUUGUAGUGAUUCAGCAGUAAUUUCAGCCAGGGAAAUUCACAGAGAGCAAGAGGACAAAGGAAAUGAUUCACUGAAGAUCAUUAGAGUAAAUUCUCUGGAUUGGGGAGCUGGAGACAUAUUUUAAAGUCCGUGUUAAGUUCCAGUGUGCUGGCAUGAUGAUCAAUGAAGUACGUAUCAGAAACCAGACUGAUGCUUUGUAGUUCUUAGUUGCCACUCAUGGGAGGCCACAAAGAGAUCCAGUUUCUCUGUCUGUCAAAGCCUGGAGCUCUAUUUGAGCACAAAGGAGUGCCCAACACUCGCUUAACAAGAUCAGAUAUUACCAAGGAGAGUGUACUACAGCAAUAGAAAAUUGAAAAGUUCAGAGAUAUAUCAGGUAUAUCUUUACUUUCAACAUUACCUUCGGAAAAUAAAAACAACCUAUCGGAGUUGUUAGUAUAUUUUAAGGAGAAAGAGCUUGUAAAUAAAAAUUGUUGCUUGGAAGGAGAUCAGAAUUGAAGACUUAGUGCUGAAGAACUGGUAAGCUUUGGAAUUGUGCUGAAGAACUGGUAAGCUUUGGAAUUUAUAUUAUUCGCUUUACAUUUUGUGGUUUUGCAAUCCAGAAAACCUUGUGUUUGAUGACGAUGAUGAUGUGGUUAUGAAAGCUUUAUUUAUUUUUUUUAUCUAUGUUGAAACAUGUUUAGAUCUUCUUGUUGGCUUUAUUCCCUAUUUGUGCUUGAUUUCCUUUUGUAA